Molecule: non-coding RNA, 71 nt
Organism: Podarcis lilfordi (Lilford's wall lizard)
Lineage: Eukaryota; Metazoa; Chordata; Lepidosauria; Squamata; Lacertidae
Source: the annotation of a GenBank genome assembly
GCAUUGGUGGUUCAGUGGUAGAAUUCUCACCUGCCAAGUGGUAGGUCUGAAUUCGAUUCCCGGUCAAUGCA